GUUUAGGUUCGAUAAAUGCUUGAAUAAGCUCGUGAGCCAUGAAUAUAUUCGUUAAAUAAAGCUUGAGCACGGCUCGAUUAUAAACGAGCCAAACUCAAAAAUAAGAGUUCGGCUCGGCUAGACUCGAUUACACCCUUAUUCACCCGACACUGAAUUUGCCCCUUUCGCAAUGCAAAAUGUGUUAGUCCAAUAGAAAAAUAUCUAAUCUGCAAAACAAAGUUGGCACGAUAAUAAGGUAGCAGUAAUAAUUAGCUCCUGUCUUUCCAAGACCAGGAACUAGUCAUGGUCUCAAUUUAGGUUUCUAAAAUAGACCUAAACGGGACCUUCGCCUAAAGUCCCCAAUUGGGACUCGCUUGACUCUUCCUUGGUCCACCAGGUCUUCCCGUUAGGUCCGUAGACCUAACUGGACUUCUGCCAGCUGUCAGGUCCCGCAGAUCUAGCCAAACUUUUCGCUAGAUAUCAGAUCACUUCUUGAUCUAUCUGGACUUCCACACCAGCUAUCAGGUCCUCCAGAGCUAGCUGGAUUUCAGUUUGGUGUCAAACCAAUCAAGUCCUGCACGCUUGGUAGUAAAAGUUAAGUCAACAACACAUUUAAUUUUAAUCCACUUGUCAUUCAUCAAAACUUAGGUUUGACAAUUGGUGUCAAAUAUAGCAAGACUAUACAUGUCUCUUCUAUCUCACCCAAACUAGUAUUGUAGAGAGCAACUAAGCAUUCAGCAUUCAGAUUGCCAUGAUCCUAGAGGAAGGUGAGUGAUUGGGGGAUCUUUCUGAGAUCAAUAAGUACCAGAUGCAUCAACGUAGUAGCUGGAUGCACCAGAAGUCAUGAAGCCUGAAAAUAACAAGUUAUAUUGCUUGCGCACUUAAACGCGGAGCUACUAAAGCACAACUUCACAGCGCAGUAAGGCAUUUUUCAGACAAUUUUUAAACUGCAUCGCAUCUCGGACCAAUAUAACGAAUUCAAUUCAUGUUUAUCUCAUGACGAACUUCACAGCUGGAAGAAGUAGCUUUAUCUAUCAUAACUAAUGGCCUCUUUGAUCAAGAUACAAGGAAUGUAUCGACAAGGUGGAGGUUCCUCCACUUAUGUUCUCUUAAUAAAUUCCUUUAUUGUUUUGGGGGGCAUUUUCAACUGUUGCGUGUGCUUUAGUUCUUAUUCUGUCCUUCAAAGCACAAGGUUAAACCACACCCUGCAGGAAUGAUGUGCAUCCGGUUUGAUGUGUUCUAUCUCGUUAUUGUGAGAGAUUAGUUUCCACGCCAAUGGCUUGAUCAUUAACCGAGUCAUAUGGUACCGGUUUUAUCAUGUUAA
Molecule: long non-coding RNA, 1303 nt
Organism: Zingiber officinale
Lineage: Eukaryota; Viridiplantae; Streptophyta; Magnoliopsida; Zingiberales; Zingiberaceae
Exons: 3
Source: RefSeq, a predicted model, not a curated record